GCAACUCUGAGGAUUAUUUUGCACCACUGAAGUAGCACAAAAUAGCUCAGAAAGAUAAAACGAUCAUGAUGGCGGGACUAGGGUCAACAGGUCAGUUCCCGAUUUUAAGAAAAAGGCUUUAGAAAGAGAGCAGAAAAGGCAAGCCCUGAAGAAAACGAUUGGUCAAGAAAAAGCUUUUUUGCUGGAUUGUGGGAACGACCUAAAAUGGCUAUGUCUUUCCCUUUGGGACCUCAGUUGCAGUGGCAUUGCUGGCUGCUCCAGAGCACUCCCCUACUGUCUUUGGGUCAUGGAGCUCCCUUCUGGGAAACAACUGCUGGAACGAGAAGGGAGGAUGAACCACAGGGAGGAAGAAGGCCUUCAGGUUAUUUUUGAAUUCUGUCUCUUUAAAAAAUUGCAAUCAUGCCAUUCACAUCAGCAUGCCUUGAAGCAAAUCCUGGUACAGAUGGGCUUGUGUCAAACAUUAAGCUCAGGAGAAUCUGGGACAUGGAAUUGACCUUCUACAGCUAAGGCCCGUUUCACAAACUGCAUAAAAGCUUCCAGGCUGAUGUCCAUCGUACUCACAGUCUGUAUCAAGCAUCUCUGGGACCUUUUACCUUCAGACGGAGCCAAUUUUCUCUCCUCCCACUUUCAAAGAAAAAGUGAAGUACUUUCCUUAGGUGAGGGGCAGCAUAUGUUCAGGUUGCUGAUUACACAGCUCCAGCCGGUGACACUUUGUAUGCAAAGUUAUUCUCACAGUAACUACUCAUGAGAAACUCCUUCCUGGCACAAAGCUC
Long non-coding RNA from Harpia harpyja (harpy eagle), 773 nucleotides. RefSeq lists it as uncharacterized. The record is from RefSeq and is a predicted model, not a curated record. NCBI's taxonomy places the organism in Eukaryota, Metazoa, Chordata, Aves, Accipitriformes, Accipitridae. The transcript is spliced from 3 exons.